GGGAGCGGAUGAGUCCCGGUGGGCUUCGCGGACUUCAUAUCCGUUGGGGGGCACUGAUAAUGCUUUCGGUGGGUUCGACUCCCAUGCGCUCCCGCCA
RNAcentral lists this transfer RNA (97 nucleotides) under Chloroflexota bacterium. Its description in RNAcentral is "Chloroflexi bacterium (groundwater metagenome) tRNA-Sec". It matches the Rfam family "Selenocysteine transfer RNA". Lineage: Bacteria; Bacillati; Chloroflexota. The record is from RNAcentral.